RNAcentral lists this ribosomal RNA (225 nucleotides) under uncultured bacterium. Its description in RNAcentral is "partial 16S ribosomal RNA". It matches the Rfam family "Bacterial small subunit ribosomal RNA", at positions 107 to 334 of the family's 1533-position model. The record is from RNAcentral.
UGAGUAACACGUAUCCAACCUGCCGUCUACUCUUGACAGCCUUCUGAAAGGAAGAUUAAUACAAGAUGGCAUCAUGAGUCCGCAUGUUCACAUGAUUAAAGGUAUUCCGGUAGACGAUGGGGAUGCGUUCCAUUAGAUAGUAGGCGGGGUAACGGCCCACCUAGUCUUCGAUGGAUAGGGGUUCUGAGAGGAAGGUCCCCCACAUUGGAACUGAGACACGGCCAA